UUCCGGUUGAUCCUGCCGGACCCGACUGCUUAUUUGGGUGAGGAAUAACCAUGCGAGUUGUAUGGGAUACCUAAAUUUCCCAUAGCUAACUGCUUAGUAACACAUGAUCAACUUGCCCUAUGGAGAAAUAUAACCUCGGGAAACUGAGGAUAAUGCUUCAUAGUUGAAUAGGCUUGGAAAAGUUUUUCAAUGAAAGGGAUAAGAUAAAUGGUUGUUAUCUACCAUAGGAUAGGAUCGUGCUCGAUUAUGGUUGUUGGUGAGGUAACGGCUCACCAAGCCGAUAAUCGAUAGGGGCCGUGAGAGCGGGAGCCCCAAGAUGGGUACUGAGACAGCGACCCAGGCCUUACGAGGCGCAGCAGGUACGAAACCUCCGCAAUACACGAAAGUGUGACGGGGUUACCCAAAGUGUUCUUAUAGAACUGUGGCAGGUGAGUAAUGUCCCCUGCUAGAAAGGAGAGGGCAAGGCUGGUGCCAGCCGCCGCGGUAAAACCAGCUCUCCAAGUGGUCGGGAUAAUUAUUGGGCUUAAAGUGUCCGUAGCCGGUUUAGUAAGUUCCUGGUAAAAUCAGGUAGCUUAACUAUCUGUAUGCUAGGAAUACUGCCAUACUAGAGGGCGGGAGAGGUUUGAGGUACUACAGGGGUAGGGGUGAAAUUUUAUAAUCCUUGUAGGACCACCAGUGGCGAAGGCGUCAGACUGGAACGCGCCUGACGGUGAGGGACGAAAGCCAGGGGAGCGAACCGGAUUAGAUACCCGGGUAGUCCUGGCCGUAAACGAUGCAUACUAGGUGAUGGUACGGCCAUGAGCCGUGUCAGUGCCGUAGGGAAACCGUUAAGCGUGCCGCCUGGGAAGUACGGUCGCAAGGCUGAAACUUAAAGGAAUUGGCGGGGGAGCACCACAAGGGGUGAAGCCUGCGGUUCAAUUGGAAUCAACGCCGGU
RNAcentral lists this ribosomal RNA (935 nucleotides) under uncultured archaeon. RNAcentral's name for it is "bacterial SSU rRNA". It matches the Rfam family "Archaeal small subunit ribosomal RNA", at positions 1 to 922 of the family's 1478-position model. The record is from RNAcentral.